GGGCCGGUUCGGCGGAGCAGGAGCAGGAGCAGGAGCAGGAGCGGCGGCAGCAUGAACCGUUUCAGGGCGUCCAAGUUCCGGCACGCGCUGGCCCGGUCGCAGCGCAAGGAGGCCUGGAUUGGGGAUAUCCGAGCUGGCAGCACUGUCUCCUAUGGGAACCAGAUCAAGGCCAGCUGCCGCUUGAUAGCGUUUAAUGCUGAUUCAGCAGGUGUGUUGGGUGUCGUACCCCUGGACUGCCAAGAUGGAGGCAAGAGGGCUGUGUCUCAGCUGCGCUGCCAUUCAGAUACGGUGACAGACUUUGACUUCUCUCCAUUUGACCAGCUGUUACUGGCGACAGGCUCUGCUGAUAAGACGGUGAAAGUGUGGUGUCUGUCUGAAAAUGGUCAGGACUUGCCUGCCUGUGCGGGGGUGAUCCUGGGGCCUGAGGGGUGCCAAGUGGACAUGCUCCAGUUCCACUCCACUGCAGAUGGUGUGCUGGCGAGCGGAGCUGGCAGGACAGUGAAGAUCUGGGACGUGGCCCAGCAGCAGUCCCUGACAGAACUGGAAUCUCAUGGUGACCAGCUCCAGAGUUUGGCCUGGAAACAAGAUGGUGCCCUCCUUGGCACUUCCUGUAAGGACAAGAAGCUAAGGAUCUUUGACCCAAGAGCCAAGCCUGCUGCCUCACAGAGUGUGCAGGGACAUGAGAACAACAAGGAUUCCAGGCUGAUCUGGAUGGAUGCCAGUGACUACCUCCUCUCUGUUGGAUUCAACCAGAUGCGGGAGCGUGAGGUGAAGCUCUGGGAUACACGGCGGUUCAGCGGCUCACUCCUCUCCUGUGCUCUGGACAGCUCCCCAGGGGCUGCGAUCCCACUCUUCGACACCGACACAGGUCUCUUGGUUGUGGCUGGAAAGGGUGAAAACCUCCUCUACUGCUUUGAAGUGUCCCCCUUGCAGCCAGCCCUGACACAGGUUAACCAGUGUGUGACAGAGGGCAAGACCCGGGGCGCUGCCCUGGUGCCGAAGCUGGCACUGGACGUCAUAGCCUGUGAGGUGGCCAGAGUCUUGCAGUUGACAGACAGCUUCAUUGUGCCCGUCAGCUACACUGUGCCCCGUAAGUCUGUUCAGGAGUUUCAUGAAGAUCUCUUUCCUGAUUCUGCUGGGACCCUGCCAUCAGCAUCUUCCCAGGAAUGGUGGUCAGGAGACAACAAACAGGUGGGGAAGGUGAGCCUGAACCCAGCCCGGAGACCCAAGGAGACCUUCACCUUCAGCUUGUUCCCCCAUGCCCAGCAGGAGUGUCUGCCUCAUGACUCCAGGUGGCUAGAUGCUGGUUCUGUGGACCUGGACCGAAGUGAUGCCAGUGGCCUCUCUUCUCCCUCCAGCUCCCUGACUUCUCCCAGCAUGGCCCUGUCUGUCUCCACCACCAGUGGCUUUGCCAGCAGCUCCAGUCAAAGGUCCCUGCAGAGCAUUCUGGGCCCCAGCUCAAAGUUCCGCCACACCCAGGGAACAGUCCUGCAUCGUGACACCCACAUCACCAACCUCAAGGGGCUCAACCUCACCACUCCGGGAGAGUGCAAUGGUUUCUGUGCCAACCGGCAGCGCCUGGCAGUCCCACUGCUGUCAUCUGGUGGGCAGAUUGCCAUCCUCGAGCUCUCCAAGCCAGGCCGUCUGCCUGACACCUCCAUACCCACCAUCCAGAAUGGGACGCCUGUCGCAGACUUCUGUUGGGACCCCUUUGACCUGCAGCGCCUUGCAGUCGCUGGGGAAGAUGCCAAAAUCCGGAUCUGGCAAAUCCCUCCAGGAGGGCUGCAGAAGACGCUGCUAGAACCAGAGGCUGUGCUUCGAGGUCAUACAGAGAAAAUCUACUCCAUCCAAUUCCACCCGCAAGCUGCCAACAUCCUGGCCUCUUCCUCCUAUGACAUGACGGUGCGGGUCUGGGACCUAUGUACCAAGCAGGAGGUGCUGUGCCUGAAGGGACACACUGACCAGAUCUUCAGCCUAGCCUGGAGCCCUGAUGGGCAGAAGCUGGCCACGGUCAGCAAGGAUGGCCGGGUGCGGCUCUACGAGCCCCGGCGGUCGCUGGAGCCCGAGCAGGAUGGCCCAGGCCCUGAGGGCAGCCGAGGUGCCCGUGUGGUCUGGGCAUGUGGUGGCCACUACCUGCUGGUCUCUGGCUUUGAUAGCCGCAGUGAGCGCCAGUUGUAUCUGUACAAGGCUGACUCCCUGUCUGCUGGGCCUGUGGCAGUGGGCACUGUCGAUGUGUCUCCCUCCACCCUCAUCCCCUUCUAUGACGAGGACACCAGCGUUGUCUUCCUGACAGGCAAGGGGGACACAAGAGUCUUUAUCUACGAGAUUGUCACCGAGGCGCCCUUCUUCUUGGAGUGCAACAGCUUUUCUUCCAGCGACCCCCAUAAGGGCUUCGUGUUCCUGCCCAAGACUACGUGCAACGUGCGGGAGGUGGAGUUUGCCAGGGCCCUGCGUCUGAGGCAGAGCUCUGUGGAGCCAGUUGUCUUCAAGGUGCCCAGAGUCAAGAAGGAAUUCUUCCAGGAUGACAUCUUUCCCCCCACAACCAUGUGGUGGGAGCCAGCCCUCACUGCCACUGCAUGGCUCACAGGCAGCAACGCGCAGCACCAAAUGUUGAGCCUCCAGCCCAAGGACAUGACUCCAGUGAGCGAGGCCCCGAAGGAUGUCCCAGUCAGGAAGUAUGCCCCAUCAUCUGUCUACCUGGAGGAGAAGUCUGAUGAGCAGAAGAAAGAGGAGUUGCUGAGCGCGAUGGUGGCCAAGCUGGGCAACCGUGAGGACCCCCUCCCUCAGGACUCCUUUGAAGGGGUGGAUGAAGACGAAUGGGACUAGUCUUGGCAAGGCAGUCCUGUUCCUUCAGCACCACAAUCUCCUCAUAUCUGAAGCUGUCUGGAUCCUUGCCUCCCUUCCUUGUAUUCUCAGGCCAAGAAGCCAGGCACCCCAAAGCCAGCGCCAAGGCUUCGCAAGCAACUGGACUGCACCCCACUCGAACAGUGCUUACUCUGAAGAAUCUCCCAUGCCCACUCUAGUGUGCAAACCUCCCUGGUGGAGACCUGGACCAUCUGCUGGACCUUCUCCCAAGUGCCCACAGAAGCCACCUGCCUUUCUGUCUGGGGGCUCCAAGUUCUGAGUCAGCUGCUGGUCCAGCAUCAUCUCUGCAAAGGAACUGGCAGGGUGUCUGAGGCCAAGCCCUCCUCUAGUCUCUAAUGAUCUGUCAGAGGAGGUGGGGAGGGGUGGUGCUGGCCAUACCUCCCCCUGCUUUGUCUUCUGAGUUUGCUUGCUCCUAGCUAGAGCAGUAUUAUGUCAGCAAGUCACACAGGCAUGGGGGCUAGGUGUGCUCUGGCUGGUUGUCAUAUACACACUUCUGCUGUGGGGAGUGCAGUGGGUUAGUGAUAAUUCAGGGACCAACCAUUCCCCAAAACUGCCCUCAAGAGCAUGUGGAGGGGACAGGGCCUUGGGACUGUGCCAUCCAGGUUGGCCUGGCCCGAGGCAGCUGUGUUCAUGGCUGCAGUCACCCUCAGUUUUGCCAGAGUUAUGGCUCAGGCCCUCAUUCAGCACAGUGCCUAAGUGCCUCACUUCAAGCCUGUACUUACAUCUGUCCACAUUCAACAAAGGACCAGCACAUUGCUUGGAGGUACUGACUUGCUCUGUUUCUUUCACUUAAGCAGGUGCUAUUGAGACCAAAGGGCAUGGGUGGGCACCUUCAUAACACAGGGCAUGACCAGUUCUAACCCAGCAUACCUGAUUGUAGACCCUACUGGUCCCAGCACAGCCAUUGCCUGGUGCUCUCUGAAUAGUAGAAAUGCCAGUGCCUCCCCAUAGAGGUAAAGCCCAGUGAAACUUUUCUUGAGUUUACUGUGUCAGUUUUCUAUAGCAAGGGCACCAGCCCUUCCUGUUGUGCAUCAGUCCUUAGCCUGAGUCUGGAUGGCAAGCAGGGGCCGAACAACAGAGAAAUGCCACCAGUCAGCAGGAAAUGGCCCCUUUGUGGGCAGUUCCAACAGAGAACCCAGGGGCAAUAUGGGCUGUGCAAAUCAAACUGCCCAGCCAGCCCUGGCGCUCUCCAGUUCAGGGGUGAGGCAGGGAGCACAGUGCUGUGCCACUGCUCAUGUGGGACCUGUUCUGGAAACUGUCAGACCCCAGGUGGGGCCAAGAUGACAUCUUCCACAAGACUAACUUAAAGAACAGCUCACACACUAAAUUCAUAUCUGCUCCUCCCCUCUCACCCCAUCCAUGAGGCUGAGAUGCAGCCUUUGGGCCAGCCCUGGGCUAGAACGCAUGUCUGCUUACUCCAUCCGGUUUGUGUAGCUGCCUCUAGCGAUGUCAGGGAGAUGCAUCAAGAUGCUUUGCAGUGCCCACCACAACAGCAGCAGCAGCUGAUAGUGUCCGGGGAUAGCUACCCCGGCAGGUGCCAGCUCACAGGGUCACCUGUACUACAUCUGAGGUGCUCUAGGAAAGCACAGCCCAGCCAGUGGCCUGUCCUGAAAGGGGAGUCUGCUGAGACCAGAGAACCAGGCAGUGCUGGCAAAGCACUGGUCACAAACAGCUGCAGGGCCAGGUGCAGGGGGAAAGCCCACUGCUAAGAGGCCUGGCUCCUGGAGCAGCACUGGUGACAGGCCAAGUUAGAGCUGGGUAGGGGGGUGCUCUGGGGCAAGGGGCAGGAGCCAGCACAGGUACAUCCAUGCAGCGCUAGGCACCUGCCUACCCAGAGGGCAAGGGCAAGCCCCAGCAACACCCAGGUUGGGAUGGUUCAUUUGUAACUUGUGCGAGCACUGAACAAAAGAGAGGAAAAUGCUGAGAGGUCCCUCCACCCUGAGCCUUGUCCCCGAGGCACCAAGAAAGGCUCCUUCCUGUUGUCCUGCAUGGCCAGGGCUUGGGGCACAACAGGAUCACCAGCUCCUUCCCUUGCCUGGCAGUCCCCCUCUCUCUGAUACCAGCUGCCUUGUCACUGGCUGCUUCUACAAGCAGGACCCCAAGCUGAGCUGCCAGGGGUCGGUUGGACGCUAGCAGCCCUAGACCCACAGGCAGUGCUAGGCCUCCCAGGAGCUCCUGGCCCGCAUGAGCCCAGCUGCAGCCGCGCUUCCCCCUUGGGAUCUGCAGCCCCCGAUUUUCAGCUUUGUGCUUCGGCGCUGAAAAGCAGCUCCCACCCCAGCUGCCACCAGAAAGGUGAAGGCCCCGCCCCCCCCGCCUUUGGGCACCUACGGGGGGACAGCGGUAUUCUGCCCUCGCGGCUCUCACCCGCGCCCCCGUGAAUCCUAACACCUGCCCCAGCGUGGGCCCGGCCGGGCCGGAGCUCCCCCAGGCCGCAGCCCCAACCCCGCCCGUGUGCACGGAGUCUACAGCGGGGCGCAGCGGCCGCUCCCAGCGCUCGCGCGGACACGGCCACGGGCGCGGAGGGGCGGGCCCGCCUCAGCACUGGCCGCCACCCCGCCCCCCGCUGCAGCCGGCUCCCGCCUCUAGGCCCCGCCCGGCUUCUCCCGCAGCUGCAGCGUCCCCGCCACCCGCGGGGGGCGCCCUGGGCGCGGGCGCCGCUCUGCCCGUCGCGCUCUAUGGCUGCGUUGCGCCGCCGCCAUCGCGACUGUGAGUCCCCGGCGCUGCCCUUUGCGCCUUGACCCGGUGACCUCGAGGGGGCGGAAGUGCCGGGAACAUGCGAGCCGGGCAAUGGCGGAAGCGCGGGGCCGCGGCAGGCCCCUGUCGGCCGCGGAGUCCAGGGUGGCGGGGAUCAGCCUGCAGGAGGCGAAGCAGAUCCUCAACGUGUCCAGCCUCGCACCCGAGGAAAUCCAGAAGGUGUUGAGAGCCAAGGAGCGGCUGGAUGAGGAGCUGUGGAUCCAGGCCCAGAGCCAAAAAGAGGAAGAGCAGAAGCCAGAGACAUAACUCUGUCCCCUGUUUCCCCCACUAAAUUAUAGCUAGCCAGGAAAUA
Molecule: RNA transcript, 5911 nt
Organism: Alligator mississippiensis (American alligator)
Lineage: Eukaryota; Metazoa; Chordata; Crocodylia; Alligatoridae
Gene name: mitochondrial import inner membrane translocase subunit TIM16
Exons: 30
Source: RefSeq, a predicted model, not a curated record